ANUGAANAUGCUAAGAUGAAAAAUAAAAAUUUUCCACAGGCA
RNAcentral lists this transfer RNA (42 nucleotides) under Alopias vulpinus (thresher shark). RNAcentral describes it as "partial tRNA-Phe". Lineage: Eukaryota; Metazoa; Chordata; Chondrichthyes; Lamniformes; Alopiidae. The record is from RNAcentral.